AUGUGGAGCGCUUAGAAGUGAGAAUGCCGGUGUGAGUAGCGAAAGACGGGUGAGAAUCCCGUCCACCGAUUGACUAAGGUUUCCAGAGGAAGGCUCGUCCGCUCUGGGUUAGUCGGGUCCUAAGCUGAGGCCGACAGGCGUAGGCGAUGGAUAACAGGUUGAUAUUCCUGUACCACCAUUAUUCGUUUUAAGCGAUGGGGGGACGCAGUAGGAUAGGCGAAGCGUGCUGUUGGAGUGCACGUCCAAGCAGUGAGAUUGAGUGUUAGGCAAAUCCGGCACUCUUAAGAUUGAGCUGUGAUGGGGAGAGGAACUUGUUCCUCGAGUCGUUGAUUUCACACUGCCGAGAAAAGCCUCUAGCUAGAAUAACGGUGCCCGUACCGCAAACCGACACAGGUAGUCAAGAUGAGAAUUCUAAGGUGAGCGAGCGAACUCUCGUUAAGGAACUCGGCAAAAUGACCCCGUAACUUCGGGAGAAGGGGUGCUCUUUGAGGUUCACGCUUCGAAGAGCCGCAGUGAAUAGGCCCAAGCGACUGUUUAUCAAAAACACAGGUCUCUGCUAAACCGUAAGGUGACGUAUAGGGGCUGACGCCUGCCCGGUGCUGGAAGGUUAAGAGGAGUGGUUAGCGCAAGCGAAGCUACGAAUCGAAGCCCCAGUAAACGGCGGCCGUAACUAUAACGGUCCUAAGGUAGCGAAAUUCCUUGUCGGGUAAGUUCCGACCCGCACGAAAGGCGUAACGAUUUGGGCACUGUCUCAACGAGAGACUCGGUGAAAUCAUAGUACCGGUGAAGAUGCCGGUUACCCGCGACAGGACGGAAAGACCCCGUGGAGCUUUACUGUAGCCUGAUAUUGAAAUUCGGUACAGUUUGUACAGGAUAGGUAGGAGCCUUAGAAGCGUGAGCGCUAGCUUACGUGGAGGCAUUGGUGGGAUACUACCCUAAUUGUAUUGGAUUUCUAACCCGCAGCACUUAUCGUGCUGGGAGACAGUGUCAGGCGGGCAGUUUGACUGGGGCGGUCGCCUCCUAAAGAGUAACGGAGGCGCUCAAAGGUUCCCUCAGAAUGGUUGGAAAUCAUUCAUAGAGUGUAAAGGCAUAAGGGAGCUUGACUGCGAGACCUACAAGUCGAGCAGGGUCGAAAGACGGACUUAGUGAUCCGGUGGUUCCGCAUGGAAGGGCCAUCGCUCAACGGAUAAAAGCUACCCCGGGGAUAACAGGCUUAUCUCCCCCAAGAGUUCACAUCGACGGGGAGGUUUGGCACCUCGAUGUCGGCUCAUCGCAUCCUGGGGCUGUAGUCGGUCCCAAGGGUUGGGCUGUUCGCCCAUUAAAGCGGUACGCGAGCUGGGUUCAGAACGUCGUGAGACAGUUCGGUCCCUAUCCGUCGUGGGCGUAGGAAAUUUGAGAGGAGCUGUCCUUAGUACGAGAGGACCGGGAUGGACAUACCUCUGGUGUACCAGUUGUCGUGCCAACGGCAUAGCUGGGUAGCUAUGUAUGGACGGGAUAAGUGCUGAAAGCAUCUAAGCAUGAAGCCCCCCUCGAGAUGAGAUUUCCCAACUUC
RNAcentral lists this ribosomal RNA (1552 nucleotides) under Staphylococcus pseudintermedius. RNAcentral describes it as "partial 23S ribosomal RNA". It matches the Rfam family "Bacterial large subunit ribosomal RNA", at positions 1271 to 2821 of the family's 2925-position model. The record is from RNAcentral. Lineage: Bacteria; Bacillati; Bacillota; Bacilli; Caryophanales; Staphylococcaceae.